This 505-nucleotide ribosomal RNA is filed under the name uncultured bacterium. RNAcentral describes it as "partial 16S ribosomal RNA". It matches the Rfam family "Bacterial small subunit ribosomal RNA", at positions 28 to 507 of the family's 1533-position model. The record is from RNAcentral.
GACGAACGCUGGCGGCGUGCCUAAUACAUGCAAGUAGAACGCACAGUUUAUACCGUAGCUUGCUACACCAUAGACUGUGAGUUGCGAACGGGUGAGUAACGCGUAGGUAACCUGCCUGGUAGCGGGGGAUAACUAUUGGAAACGAUAGCUAAUACCGCAUAAUAUUAAUUAUUGCAUGAUAAUUAAUUGAAAGGUGCAAUUGCACCACUACCAGAUGGACCUGCGUUGUAUUAGCUAGUAGGUGAGGUAACGGCUCACCUAGGCGACGAUACAUAGCCGACCUGAGAGGGUGAUCGGCCACCCUGGGACUGAGACCCGGCCCAGACUCCUACGGGAGGCAGCAGUAGGGAAUCUUCGGCAAUGGACGAAAGUCUGACCGAGCAACGCCGCGUGAGUGAAGAAGGUUUUCGGAUCGUAAAGCUCCGUUGUAAGAGAAGAACGGGUGUGAGAGUGGAAAGUUCACACUGUGACGGUAUCUUACCAGAAAGGGACGGCUAACUACGUG